UGUUCUUGCUGGGGUCUCAGUUUCUGGUGCAACUCCAAGCAUCCCUGCUUGUUGGUGUGUUUUAGGCUGCCUCCUGAUGCUGUGCUGAGGCCCCCUCACUGACCUGCCAAGAGACCCGGUUUGCUUCUCUGGCGUACCCUGCGACGACGGCAUCCGCCUCGGAGCGUGGCCGAAAUGUGUGGCCGGAGGACCCGGGAGUUCCUAAGAGACGGUGAUGAUACUUGUCUGAGACAACAGCCUGGUGAGAGAAGAACUUCACAGACAGCGAGGUGGCUUUGUUUGGCUCCCGACCGGCCUCUCGCUGUGACUCACAUCUUCAGCCCUCUGAGAGAUAAGUGGAGCCCGCAGAGGGGAUCAAAGCAGGGCGGCGGUCGGGACUGAGAUCGGUUUGGGUUUUUGAGUGAGCUUUGGGGAUGGGGAGGUUCUGGAAAUGACCCCAUAGGCCCCAGUGAGGGAAAGCCUCACUUUGGUUCGCAAUGCUGAGGCGGGCAGGGCAGAGCAGUCCCAGGGUGUGUUGUCACUUGUCUCGCGUGCCUUCUGUGUCUUCUGUGCCUUCUGUGCAUCUCGUGUAAUGUGUCUCUUGCCUUAGCCCUCCCAGGGGCUUAUGAGAAACCCUGGGGUCCUUCCGUUCAUCUCCCAUCUUUGCGUUCCUCGGCCCGACGCCGGCGAAGCUUCGAUUCGGGAGGUCGGACACAUGUCAGAAUCGCAUCUGUCUUCAGAAGCACGUGAUCUUUUUAGGUCUCGUUCUCAGCUGUGUCAACAGCUAUAUGCAGCAAUGUCUCUUUACAGUGGAUAAGGACUUCUGCCGAUUCAAAGGCAGGCAGAGGCUUCCAGCCACAGGAUUCUCGGGCAUCCGUCUCUGCGGUUCUUGGAAAAUAGUUGUUCCGUUAGCGUCUUUUUCCUCCAGGGUCAUCCGAGCCCGGCAGGCUCGCCUGGGGUCCCUCCUCGGUCAUCUCGUUCAGCAUUCUCUCGGUCCUCGUGAGGACUUUCUUGUCUCAGGGAGUUUUCACUCAGGGAGACACUCCCUCGUCUCACGUGUCACGGGUGUCUGGGGGUAUUCGGUCCGGAGCUGCUCUGCCCUGCUGCCCAGCCCGGUUGUAGGCGUUUAAGGACAAGUCCCGGGCACUUGUAAUUGGAGACUUGUCGUACGGGCUGUAGUUGGAGUCUAGGUGGUAUUCUUAUGUUGGCAGAAGGUGUUUGGAGCUGUGAAGUUACCCUGCAGCACUUUGACUUUUUUCCUAACUUUCUUUCAGAUGCAGACGGAUUGACCUCCUGGCAAAGCAUCUGUCCCAGAU
Non-coding RNA from Cyanistes caeruleus (blue tit), 1295 nucleotides. The record is from RefSeq and is a predicted model, not a curated record. Lineage: Eukaryota; Metazoa; Chordata; Aves; Passeriformes; Paridae.